This 292-nucleotide ribosomal RNA is filed under the name Staphylococcus aureus. Its description in RNAcentral is "partial 23S ribosomal RNA". It matches the Rfam family "Bacterial large subunit ribosomal RNA", at positions 2251 to 2542 of the family's 2925-position model. The record is from RNAcentral. Lineage: Bacteria; Bacillati; Bacillota; Bacilli; Caryophanales; Staphylococcaceae.
ACAGUGUCAGGCGGGCAGUUUGACUGGGGCGGUCGCCUCCUAAAAGGUAACGGAGGCGCUCAAAGGUUCCCUCAGAAUGGUUGGAAAUCAUUCAUAGAGUGUAAAGGCAUAAGGGAGCUUGACUGCGAGACCUACAAGUCGAGCAGGGUCGAAAGACGGACUUAGUGAUCCGGUGGUUCCGCAUGGAAGGGCCAUCGCUCAACGGAUAAAAGCUACCCCGGGGAUAACAGGCUUAUCUCCCCCAAGAGUUCACAUCGACGGGGAGGUUUGGCACCUCGAUGUCGGCUCAUCG